RNAcentral lists this ribosomal RNA (301 nucleotides) under uncultured bacterium. Its description in RNAcentral is "partial 16S ribosomal RNA". It matches the Rfam family "Bacterial small subunit ribosomal RNA", at positions 509 to 807 of the family's 1533-position model. The record is from RNAcentral.
CAGUAGCCGCGGGAAUACGUAGGGUGCAAGCGUUAAUCGGAAUUACUGGGCGUAAAGCGUGCGCAGGCGGUUCCAUAAGGCAGAUGUGAAAUCCCCGGGCUCAACCUGGGAACUGCAUUUGUGACUGUAGAGCUGGAGUGCGGCAGAGGGGGAUGGAAUUCCGCGUGUAGCAGUGAAAUGCGUAGAUAUGCGGAGGAACACCGAUGGCGAAGGCAAUCCCCUGGGCCUGCACUGACGCUCAUGCACGAAAGCGUGGGGAGCAAACAGGAUUAGAUACCCGCGUAGUCCCUGUCUCUUAUAC